GCUGGGCGCUCGCGAGGACCGCCGUUGUGAGCAGUUCGACUUUCCGCCCAAACUGGGGGAUGCUAGACCGCGGGCACCUCUGAAUCUUAUGCCUUCAGUGAUAUCAUAAUCCUCCGUGUCGUUCGCGUCCCUCCUGCUGCAGACACGUCCCCUAUACUUCGGUACACACGAGCCUUUCGCGCCCACUGCGAUGCAGCCUCGGGAGGCAGGACAGACCCCUGCGAGUGUAGAUUGCAGCUGCAUCCCAGCUCCCGUCUCCCUGGCACGCUCCUCCACCUACAGCUGCGCUGAGCUGCCGCAUCUGAACGCAAAGCAAACGCUGCAGUGACGGUUCCUGCGUCACCUUAACAUCCAAAGUAAAUGCUAAGGUUUCCCGUGUCUGUACCAUCUCUCGAUCGGCACUCUGAAAACAUUUGGCACGGUGUUUACUACCCUAAUAAGACCUCAGCUGCCCUCGGGCGGGGCGUGCCGCCGCCAGACUGAUUACUGGCAGUUCGUGAAAGACAUCCGGUGGCUCAGUCCCCACUCAGCCUUCACGUGAGAAGUUCAUCAGCUUGCACGAGAACGGCCAGAGCAGUGCUGAUGGUGUGAGUGAACAUGCUGUUGCCGAGUUGUGGCUGCAGCACAGCCUGCAGUACCACUGCCUCUCAGCCCAGCUCCGGCCCCUGCUCGGGGAUAGAGAGUAUAUCAGAAAAUUCUACACAGAUGCUGCCUCCUGCUAAGUGACGCUCACGUCACGGCCAUGCUGCAGUGCCUGGAAGCAGUGGAACAGAACAACCCCCGCCUCCUGGCUCAGAUCGACGCGUCCAUGUUUGCCAGAAAACACGAGAGCCCACUCCUGGUGACAAAGAGCCAGAGCCUGACAGCCCUGCCCAGUUCCACAUACACCCCUCCAACCAGCUAUGCUCAGCAUUCCUACUUUGGGUCCUUCUCUAGCCUC
Molecule: small RNA, 940 nt
Filed under: Pongo abelii (Sumatran orangutan)
Lineage: Eukaryota; Metazoa; Chordata; Mammalia; Primates; Hominidae
Description: processed transcript
Source: RNAcentral